RNAcentral lists this ribosomal RNA (525 nucleotides) under uncultured bacterium. RNAcentral describes it as "partial 16S ribosomal RNA". It matches the Rfam family "Bacterial small subunit ribosomal RNA", at positions 29 to 523 of the family's 1533-position model. The record is from RNAcentral.
AUUGAACGCUGGCGGCGUGCCUAAUACAUGCAAGUCGAGCGCAGGAGACCGUUCCGAACCCUUCGGGGGGACGACGGUGGAAUGAGCGGCGGACGGGUGAGUAACACGUAAAGAACCUGCCCAUAGGUCUGGGAUAACCACGAGAAAUCGGGGCUAAUACCGGAUGUGUCAUCGGACCGCAUGGUCCGCUGAUGAAAGGCGCUCCGGCGUCGCCCAUGGAUGGCUUUGCGGUGCAUUAGCUAGUUGGUGGGGUAACGGCCCACCAAGGCGACGAUGCAUAGCCGACCUGAGAGGGUGAUCGGCCACACUGGGACUGAGACACGGCCCAGACUCCUACGGGAGGCAGCAGUAGGGAAUCUUCCACAAUGGACGAAAGUCUGAUGGAGCAACGCCGCGUGAACGAUGAAGGCUUUCGGGUCGUAAAGUUCUGUUGUAAGGGAAGAACAAGUGCCGCAGGCAAUGGCGGCACCUUGACGGUACCUUGCGAGAAAGCCACGGCUAACUACGUGCCAGCCGCCGCCGUAA